RNAcentral lists this transfer RNA (71 nucleotides) under Malapterurus electricus (electric catfish). RNAcentral's name for it is "tRNA-Arg". It matches the Rfam family "tRNA". Rfam says of the family: Transfer RNA (tRNA) molecules are approximately 80 nucleotides in length. Their secondary structure includes four short double-helical elements and three loops (D, anti-codon, and T loops). Lineage: Eukaryota; Metazoa; Chordata; Actinopteri; Siluriformes; Malapteruridae. The record is from RNAcentral.
AGAGUGUUAGUCCAAAUAUAAGACCUCUGAUUUCGGCUCAGAAGAUUACAGUUUAAAUCUGUAACACCCUU